Small nucleolar RNA from Brassica oleracea var. oleracea, 107 nucleotides. It matches the Rfam family "Plant small nucleolar RNA R71". From Rfam's summary of the family: R71 is a member of the C/D box family of snoRNAs containing the C (UGAUGA) and D (CUGA) box motifs. Multiple nearly identical copies of this snoRNA have been identified in Arabidopsis, and it is thought to function as a 2'-O-ribose methylation guide for 18S ribosomal RNA. The record is from Rfam. Lineage: Eukaryota; Viridiplantae; Streptophyta; Magnoliopsida; Brassicales; Brassicaceae.
AACCCGUGAUGAGGACACUCUCUGAGGGUAUCAUUGAACUGUUCCCAAGCUUCGUUGAAAGGUUCACUAGCGAGUUGCUUGAAGGAUGAAAUUUUGUUUCGUAGGGC